RNAcentral lists this ribosomal RNA (301 nucleotides) under uncultured bacterium. Its description in RNAcentral is "partial 16S ribosomal RNA". It matches the Rfam family "Bacterial small subunit ribosomal RNA", at positions 509 to 810 of the family's 1533-position model. The record is from RNAcentral.
CAGCGCCGCGGUAAUACGAAGGGGGCUAGCGUUACUCGGAAUUACUGGGCGUAAAGGGCGCGUAGGCGGCGCUCCAAGUUAGGCGUGAAAGUCCUGGGCUCAACCUGGGAACUGCGCUUAAGACUGGAGUGCUUGAGGAUGGAAGAGGGUUGUGGAAUUCCCAGUGUAGAGGUGAAAUUCGUAGAUAUUGGGAAGAACACCGGUGGCGAAGGCGGCAACCUGGUCCAUUACUGACGCUGAGGCGCGACAGCGUGGGGAGCAAACAGGAUUAGAUACCCGUGUAGUCCUGUCUCUUAUACAC